CGGAGGAAAAGAAACCAACAGGGAUUGCCUCAGUAACGGCGAGUGAAGCGGCAAAAGCUCAAAUUUGAAAUCCCCCGGGAAUUGUAAUUUGAAGGACCUAUUAAAACCCUGAGAGAGCCCAAAGUCCAUUGGAAAAUGGCGCCAUAGAAGGUGAUAGCCCUGUGUGGACCUCUCUCAGCAUACUUUUUAGGCCCAAAGAGUCGAGUUGUUUGGGAAUGCAGCUCUAAGUGGGUGGUAAAUUCCAUCUAAAGCUAAAUAUUGGCGAGAGACCGAUAGCGAACAAGUACAGUGAUGGAAAGAUGAAAAGCACUUUGAAAAGAGAGUGAAAAAGUACGUGAAAUUGUUGAAAGGGAAGGGCUUGCAAGCAGACACAACCUCGGUUGGGCCAGCAUCGGGGCGGGGGGAAACAAAAAAGGUGUGGAAUGUGGCUCUUACGAGUGUUAUAGCCCCACCCAAUAUUUCCAUCCCAUCCCGAGGCCUGCGAUUCUUCAAGGAUGCUGGCGUAAUGGUUGCAAGUCGCCCGUCUUGACCCACGGAC
RNAcentral lists this ribosomal RNA (538 nucleotides) under Metschnikowia sp. 415. Its description in RNAcentral is "eukaryotic LSU rRNA". It matches the Rfam family "Eukaryotic large subunit ribosomal RNA", at positions 51 to 666 of the family's 3401-position model. The record is from RNAcentral. Lineage: Eukaryota; Fungi; Ascomycota; Pichiomycetes; Serinales; Metschnikowiaceae.